Non-coding RNA from Stegodyphus mimosarum, 73 nucleotides. Lineage: Eukaryota; Metazoa; Arthropoda; Arachnida; Araneae; Eresidae. The record is from Rfam.
GCCUUCGUGGUGUAAUUGGAAGCAUACUCGACGCGUGCUCAAGAGGUCUAGGGUUCGAGUCCCGGUGAGGGCA